This 443-nucleotide ribosomal RNA is filed under the name uncultured soil bacterium. RNAcentral's name for it is "bacterial SSU rRNA". It matches the Rfam family "Bacterial small subunit ribosomal RNA", at positions 26 to 518 of the family's 1533-position model. The record is from RNAcentral.
AGAACGAACGCUGGCGGCAUGCCUAACACAUGCAAGUCGAACGAGACCUUCGGGUCUGGUGGCGCACGGGUGCGUAACGCGUGGGAACCUGCCUUUAGGUUCGGAAUAACGCCUCGAAAGGGGUGCUAAUACCGGAUAAUGUCUUCGGACCAAAGAUUUAUCGCCUUUAGAUGGGCCCGCGUUGGAUUAGCUAGUUGGUGGGGUAAAGGCCUACCAAGGCGACGAUCCAUAGCUGGUCUUAGAGGAUGAUCAGCCACACUGGGACUGAGACACGGCCCAGACUCCUACGGGAGGCAGCAGUGGGGAAUAUUGGACAAUGGGCGAAAGCCUGAUCCAGCAAUGCCGCGUGAGUGAUGAAGGCCCUAGGGUGUAAAGCUCUUUACCAGGAUGAUAAUGACAGUACCUGGAGAAUAAGCUCCGGCUAACUCCGCGCCAGCAGCCGC